UACGGAGGGUGCAAGCGUUGUCCGGAUUUAUUGGGUUUAAAGGGUGCGUAGGCGGCCUUUUAAGUCAGUGGUGAAAGCCCAUAGCUCAACUAUGGAACUGCCAUUGAUACUGAAAGGCUUGAGUACAGACGAGGUUGGCGGAAUGGAUGGUGUAGCGGUGAAAUGCAUAGAUACCAUCCAGAACUCCGAUUGCGUAGGCAGCUAACUAGGCUGUAACUGACGCUGAGGCACGAAAGCGUGGGGAGCAAACAGGAUUAGAUACCCUGGUAGUCCACGCUGUAAACGAUGAUUACUCGAUGUUGGCGAUACACUGUCAGCGUCUUAGCGAAAGCGUUAAGUAAUCCACCUGGGGAGUACGCCCGCAAGGGUGAA
This 372-nucleotide ribosomal RNA is filed under the name uncultured bacterium. Its description in RNAcentral is "bacterial SSU rRNA". It matches the Rfam family "Bacterial small subunit ribosomal RNA", at positions 524 to 898 of the family's 1533-position model. The record is from RNAcentral.